Molecule: long non-coding RNA, 986 nt
Organism: Sarcophilus harrisii (Tasmanian devil)
Lineage: Eukaryota; Metazoa; Chordata; Mammalia; Dasyuromorphia; Dasyuridae
Exons: 7
Source: RefSeq, a predicted model, not a curated record
ACACUAAAUUCAUUCUUAUCUAAAUAUAUCUCAGUCUUCAGACAAGAGAGAAAGAGGUUGCUGGUAUUUGGAGUCAGAGGGACAAAAUGCAGAAGAGAGAAGGCAAAGAAGCUUGACCUGUCAGAUAUUGGGGAGAAAAACAUUUGUGACUUAAGUCAGGACUUCUGACAUUUUACUUAUCAGAUGAGAAAAACUAUGAAGGUCCUGCCUUCUGGAAAACAAUACCUAAACUAAAGGGAUGGCUUUAGUUAUCGAAAUUUCAGGCACUGAGUCAGGUCAGUGAAGGAGCAAAUAUUUGGGAACCAACACACUCUCAAAUUACCCAAGAGGCCAUAAUCCAGGGCUUUGUCAUGUAAGAUAAGGAAGGACAGGAAAAGGAGGAUCACAUGUCAUAUAUUCCCCCCCCAAAAAAAAAUGUAAGACCAUAAUUCCUGAGAAGACAAGAAGAAAACUUUUUUUGAGUAAAAAUGGAAUAAAUCCUACGGCUGGUAUACAAGCACAGAAGUUGAGGCAGACAAAAUCCUGUCAAGUUGGCGGAAGCGAAAACAUUUUCUUGGAAAGUGGUCACCUUCAAGAAGCCAACGAAAAAGCAUCAAUGAGUACAUGCACAUCUGAAAAGAGGAGGCAAUUACUGAUCUUCCUCUGGAUGAGAAAAUAGAAGACUGAAUACAACAUUUUUAGCCAAAAGAAAAUUGUCCUCCAAAGCUACUGUAAUUAAAACAAAGACCUUUCGUCUCUAUCUUCUCCAAAUGAAAUCUGAAGAACUAAAAAGAAAUCCCCAAGAUACUCCUGAUUCUUUCCUUCUCACAUCUGUUCAGGUCUUUCAUUAUCAACACCUAAGGGGCCCAAUAGAAAAUCACAGAUAUUUCAGCAUGUUCCCUACAGGCUUCUACACCAAGAAACUGAGAUGAAAAGAAAUCAAAAGACAUACUUUGAGUAAUGAGUACAAAAGCACACAAUAAAGAACUUUCACAUACCAUCUCAAA